Molecule: long non-coding RNA, 18739 nt
Filed under: Vitis vinifera (wine grape)
Lineage: Eukaryota; Viridiplantae; Streptophyta; Magnoliopsida; Vitales; Vitaceae
Description: long non-coding RNA (VVIN_LNC005139)
Source: RNAcentral
CUACAUAAACCUCGACAUCUCGAUGCAUCAUGUCAUAGAAUAGGGUGGUCGUUGCUCUCUAAUAGGUAGUUCAUGUAUUCUUCAACCCAAAUGGCAUGACUCGGUAGCAAUAAGUACCCCACUCGGUAAUGAAUGGCGUCUUCUCCAUGUCCUCUAGAGCCAUGAGGAUCUGACUGUACCCAAAAAAAUCCGUCCAUAAAGGACAACAUCAAAUGAUCUGUUGUAUUGUCAACUAGCAUAUCGAUGUGUGGGAGAGGAAAAUCAUCCUUAGGAUUGGCUUUGUUGACAUCUUGGAAAUCAACACAAACUUUCAUUUUGCCGUCUUUUUUGGGAAUAGGGAUGACAUUGGCUAGCCACUCAGGGUACUCGACCAUUGAUAAAAAUCUCACACUGAGUUACUUCUGAAUCUCUUCCUUUUCUGCAAGCUCCAACGAGAGUGCAAUAGUCUCAACUUUUGCUUAACCGGUCUAGCAUGGGGUAGAAGCGGCAAACGAUGCUGGACAAUAGAGCGUCAUAAGGCUAAUACGAUCUAAAGAUGAUGGAGCAGCCAAUGCAGAUGUCGAAGUGCUUGGAGCUCCAUCACUCAACUGUAGCCAAUAGAUAAGACGCUGAAGCUCGGCCUCCUAAACAGUAUUGAGUCCUCUAAUGAUCCCAUCUGAAGGCAUCUGUGACUCUGACGCCCUCACAAAGUAGUCCGUCAAGCUCAUGGUUUAUGGAUGAACAAGAUAAUCAAAAUGUGUGUGAGUCAAUCGGGUUAUCACCCUCUCCUUACGCAAUCGCGCCAUAUAUUGAUAAUCAACCUCAGUGGGGAUGAACCCAAGUCCGAAUGGUAUAUCAUGAUCUGGGAUAGCCAUGAACUCACUGGGCCCGUGUUGACGCCACCCCAACCCCAUGCCAGGUAAAUAAGACAUGCUUCUCAUUAUGUCGAGUACCAUUGUGCUGCCAUACUGGUUAAACAACAUAGCCACAAAGUCUCGGUGAAAAUCCUCCAUCUCCAAGGUUUGCACCUCGUCGAAUGUGAACCCAGUCAGAAAUAGGUCAUCAUCACUGUGACUAAUAUGAAGCAUUGGCUUAGCAUAAAUAAACAUAUCUCCCACAUACUACACUGUGACGACUUGGCCAUCAUGAAUGAACUUCACAUUCUAAUGAAGAGAAUAAGGAAUGGCCUCAGCUCUGUGAAUCCAAGGUCGACCCAAUAGCAGGUUAAAUGAUGUAGGAAUUCUCAAAACCUGGAACAAAGUAACAAAUGUGGUCAGACCUAUCAGCAGCUCAAUCUCUAAAGUGCUCAUGACCUCCCUCCGAGUGUUAUCAUAUGCUCAGACUGUCUGAGUAGAGGGACCAAAGUCAAAGGGCGCAUAGUUGAGGGCGAUGGCAGUGGCCAGAGGAUAGACAUUCAAUACCAAGCCAUUGUCUAAAAGGACAGAUAGGACUCGACGACCUGAACAACCGAUUGCUAUAUAUAGUGGAUGUGUAUGGUCUGAAUCCUCUAGUGGCAAGUCGUCAUCAGAGAAAACUAUGCAAAUGGCUUUACCAAUCGUCACCAUGUGACUCAACCCUUCAGAGUGGUGGUAGUCUCGACUCUGAUCUAGCUCAGGACUCGAAUCAAUGCAUCUCUAUGAGUACUGGAAGAUGCCAGCAAGCUUCAAAUGGAAAUACAAGCCUAUGUGCUCUAUAACCGCCUUAGAAUCUCAUCAUCCUCCCUUUCGACCUCUUUAUGGGAUGAGGUCCCCUCCAAGGGUCUAGCAACUGCAGGAGGCUACUGUCAUACCACCCUACUCCCACGAAUAACAUUUUUUAUAUCAGGAAUGUGAACAUCAUCAACAUAUGGAGUUCGAACCUUCUCAACAUCCAGAAUCAAGACAAACGGUGUUUGAGCACUGUAAUAUGGGAAAGUCAGUGGCACAACAGUGGUCGUCUAUACUGACGCUGCCUCAGGAACUAGUUUAAAUGGUGUUGGCAUCUGAAGGCCCAAAGUCACUUGGCCUAUCUCAUAAAUCCCAUCAAAUGCUAUGGGCUUUGGCUUAGAAUCAUCCCAACUCAGCAUGUGGAUGUGGUCGUCAAGCUUAACGAAGUCCAGGAAAUGUAUACCAUCAAUCGGAUGGGGAACCGUGUGUGUAAUGUGACCCGAUAAUGGGUUUGUGGUUACACUCGGCUAACCCAAGUGAACCAAACCCUAAUAAAUCAGAUCCUGGAUAGCAUGUCUCAGAGCAGCAUAACGAUCUGUCUCAUGUCCUGGCCCCUAAUGAUACGCACAGUAUAAAUCCAUCUUGAACUGAGGCGGGACAAGCUAAGGCAAUGAUUUGGGUAUGAGAGCCAUCAACAGUUUAGACUUUGUGAGUUUUCGAAGAGUCUGACUCAACGGCAUACCCAACUGUGAAAACUGUUUUUACGUCCUCAAAACAAAAGGAGUAGAGGUCUGUUAAGCUCUGGGUUUAGGAUAGGAUGUUGUAGGUCUCGCAGCAAACUGUGUCAUAUAACAUGGAUGGCCUAUGGCAGAAUAUGAAACAUGAGGUCUCUUGGUGCCCUGCGUGGCAAAGUAAGGCAAUACUAGUGUACGAGGCAUGUAAGCCUGAUCAUAGGUUUGAUGAGGCGCUCGUGACCUAUACUGCUGAGGUGCAUAAGAAGAAUGAGUCCCAGUGAGUUAUGGAACAGGAUGAUAACGCCUGGAAGGCCUCUGACUAGUAGAAAUGAUACCACUCACAUCAACUGAUCUCUGUCCUCUGGAUGGUAUCUUCCCCUUAACAUCAGUAGGGGAAGAAUCUGUCCAUAGACCUCUAGAAAUACCGUUCCUCAACAUUAUAUAGGGCCAAAACCAGAAAGCCAAAGUUUGUAAAGGGUACCUCGACCACAUGUCUAGCAAUCCUAGGUUGUAGACUCCUCAGAACCAUCUGUAUCUGAUCCUUCUCUGAUGGCCUAUCAAUAAUCUCAGCUAUCUUCCCGUGCCGGCUAGAGAUGAACGAAGAAACGGACUCAUCCGAUCUCUGUCUCAGAACCUCAAGCCCUCUCCUCGAUACAUCUACGACGGUAUUAAACGAAAACUAUCGCAAAAACUCCUAGGCCAAGUCAUCUCAUGUCCUACGUUACGAGGACUUCAAAGACGCGAACCAACAUUGGGCUGCUCCACUCAAAGAUAAUGGGAAUAAGGUGAUCAUCUAUGACUUGUCCAAUCUAUGGGCCCUCAUUACUGUGUUGUAGAGUCGGAGGUGAAUGAGAGGGUAACCAAUGCCCGUGUACCUCUCAAUGUCAGGCAUCCUAAACUUGGCCAGUAAACUAGCCACUAGCAUACCCUCAAGAUCAUCCUAAACAACUGAAUUGUCAGAUACUCUCAACUGUAAGCUGCUCGAUACGGUCCAUAUGUGUGAACAUCAUCAAUGAUCGUGGUCUGAACUACUGCAGGUGGGGCAACCUCAGAAUGACCAUGCAACAGAUAAGAUGAGGCCUGAAGCACUGUCAGAACAGGUGGUGGCGGUGGAGGUGGCAACGAGUCAUAAGGUGUCUCAUCUUGAAAUACGGGCGGUAUACUCUACUGACUACCUAUCUUUUGUCUGAGACUUGCCAAGGCCUCCUGAAUAGAAACCAUGGCGGUUGUGAACUGAUCAACCGUGACAACCUGUUGAUUCAUGUCUGAUAUCUUUAAAAAUCAGACUAAUCUCCCCUCUACUUUGACCCAAGAUGGUAAAUCCAAACUGAGAACAAAGCAUCGAUCUUGGAACAUGAGAAACGAAAUAAGAGUACGUCAUAGGGAAAACACAAAAGAAAUGUUAAUCUGAACUGAAACGAGCAAGACAUUAAAGUGUAGACGAACUGUUCGACCGUAACUCAAACUCGUACUGAUCUCGGUGCACUCUCAACUGGAGACUAAAAAAGGGAAUACUAAAUCCAAACUGUGACCAAAGAGACUCUAAAGGCCCUUAGAUGCACCCACAUGUAAGGAGAGAGUCUUAAUCGAAGGAUCUACGACUCAACCUACAAGGUCAAGAUGACUCUAAAAGGAUAAGGAUGGACUAUAAAAUAUCCCUAGUAGAAGCGAUCAUACCCUCCGACGGUACGCAACCCUUUACACGCCUCCGAAGAGAUGGGGCGCUUCCAUGAAAAGUGGUUAUCACCUCCACACAUGCACUACCUCGACAUCCUAGGGGGUUUCCUAUGGUGAAACCUCUCAAAACUCUCAACACUCAAUAGUCAACUAAAGUGCAUAGUGAGCAGGUGUAGGUGCAUCCGAAAACCCUAUGAAUUUAAAACAGAAAGAGGAAACAUACUGGUGGCACAAAUAUCCAUGAAACCUAGCUCCGAGCUAUACAAGUCUUCAAUGAUCGGACUCUAAUCACCAUCGAUAUGUUAGUCUCCUCCAGAAUGCUCCCGAACAUCGAUAUAGCCCAUCGCUAGACCCUACUCCUAAUCUCUAACUUGGUUAGAGAAGCAAGCACACACAAGGCCUUACACUUACAAAAAUAAGAGCCGAAAUGAAAGAAAUGACUGAAACCAAAGGAUUGGAGGUAAAAAGGAUAGAUGUGCGGCCCACACAAAUAAGCGACAUGCAAUCAUACAAGAAAAGAGCAUUCAUGCACCAUACAAUCAAGCAAAGUACAAAUAUAUCACUCAUGUCCACAAUCAAGCUAUGACAAUCAAGAUGAAUAGCGAUACAAGCAUCAUGCUCAAAGACGAUCAAGAUAAUACACAAACUAAAGAAUCAACACAUCUUGUCAAAUGAUAUACAACAGUGAAUCUAUACAUGCGAGGUGAUCAAAACAAUCAUGGCAAAAUCAAAGUCACUAUGCUAAGACAGGUAAGAUAAUCGAUCAAUACAAUCAACGUGUCAAUGUCCCAAAUGGAUAUAGCAAUGAAACAUAGAAAAAAUCACUACAUCGGAAUCCUCAACCAAGAUAUAAUCAAUCAGUAUGUCAAUGUCCUAAAUGAACACAAUAACCAAGCAUGCAUCAAGGAUAAUGAUAUCAAGAGCUCUCAACUUGUAAUCAAUAGUCGAGCGAAUCGAAACACAAAGAGAGAUAGGUACCUACUGAUCGACCAAUCAAACACCACAUUUGCCUUAUCUUAAGUUCAAGCUUGACUCACAGGUGAUUCCCCAGUGGAGUCGCCAUUUUGUGGACCCCGUAUUUCGGUUCAUGUGCUUUCACUCAUUGGCGAACUCGUUUUUUAUUUGAAAAAUGAUUUAUUGUUUAGAAAAUGACUUGGAGUCACCACUUAUUUUUGUUUUAUUUUUAAAGGGUAAACAAAAUAAGAAAGAAAACCCUAAAUGUGACUCCCUGUUUGGAAAAGACAAUCUAUGAGAAACCAAAUACUGGUUCGGGGGUCAUGUUACUUAUCGGAAAGGUAUGGUAAAAACCGUAGCACCCCUCUAAGUCCCUAAAAAUGGGUCUCUACUAAAUAAGAUAAGACAUAUGCGGCAAUUGAUGAGGAAAUCAAUGGAUACCGAUGAAAUAAUCAAAUAAUAAAGUCAAUCAUGCAUCAGAAUAAGCGAAGUGGGAAUGGGAUCAUACCUUAGCGCAAUUAAUAGUGCGCUAUCAUAGAAACAAGGUUAAAUCAAGUAUAAAAUCAUCACAUGCAUAUCAAAAAGUAAGACAAAGAUCAAGUAAUACUCAUUAAGCAUAACAAUUGAAGAAAAUGAAACUCAUAUGUAGGGCCCCCCACCAAAGCCCAAUUUAUUUUGCAUGAAUUAAUAUCACAAAUUCCAUUAUUUUGGAAUUAUGAAAAAUUCAUUCAUGAUUAUUAAAAAAAAAUCAAGGAAAACGAAAAAUUAUUUGAAAAUCAAAGAAAAUUCUUGAAUUAAAAAAAUAUUUGAAAAAUGGAGUGGAAUUAAAACUAUUUGAAAGAAAAUUGGAGUUUUGAAAUUUAUUUGAAAAUUGAAGUCUCGAAAAUUAUUUGAAAAUUGGGAUUUUGAAAAUUAAAUUUAAGAAUUGGAAUUUUGAAAAUUAAAUUUGAAAGAAAUUGGAAUUUUGAAAAUUAUUUGACAAUUGGAAUUUUGAAAAUUAAAUUUAAGAAUUAGAAUUUUACAAAUUAAAUUUUGAAAGAAAUUAGAAUUUUAAAAAUUAUUUAAAGAUGGAAUUUUUAAGAAUAAAUAAAUAGAAUAAUGAUAAUAACGAAAAUAAUAACGAUUAAAUAAACAAACAUGAAAAUUGGAAUUUUUGAAAUUGGAAACUAAGGGCCUAUUUGUUUAGUGUUUUCAAGAACUGUUUUCUGUUCUCGAAAACAAAAAACACCAAAAACUCGUUUGGUUGAGAGAGUCGUUUUUGUUUUUGUUGUUCCCCGUGUUCUCAAAAUGACACUGUUUAGAGAACAACAAAAUAUUGUUUUCCCCGUUUUUUUACCGUUUACAGAACAAAAUUAAACAAAAAAAAACCAUCUGUUCUCCGUGUUUUUUUUUUCUUCCCGUUUUCAUCUCUUCUCCAGCACAGUCGCGUUUCUCAGUUUUGAUUCAAGGUUCAUGAAAUUUAAAUCCAAUGGCACAAUAGCAAAGAGACCCCUAAAACGGAUCCAGAAAACGCAGGGAGCAAAAGAAAAUCCAUUUUUUUGGUUUUCCUUGGGGUUUUUGCUUGGAUUUUCUCGGAAAUCAAACGAGGAUGAAUUUUCCCGGAAAUCGAAUGGGGGAUGGAUUUUCUUGGGAAUCAAACGGGGGUUGCAGGGUUUUUGCUUGGAUUUUCUCGGAAAUCAAACGAGGAUGAAUUUUCCCGGAAAUCGAAUGGGGGAUGGAUUUUCUUGGGAAUCAAACGGGGGUUGCAAAAAAAAUAAUAAUAAUAAUAACAUGAUUAGAUUAGUACCUGCGAGGAUUGAGAGUGGCAGAGGAAAAUAGGGCCUUUUAGGGAUUCUCUCGGCUAGAGGGCAACUUCAGAAAAGGGCUUCUUGAUGCGCGAUGAGAGAAGUGGGUGGCAUUUUGAAUUUUAGAUUUAGUAGAGAUAAAAAAAAAUUAACAAAUCAUGAGAAUAAUUUUAUCUCAACUUAAUAAAAAAUGCUAUAAUUUUUAAUAAAGUUAAAGAUUAAAUAAAAAAAUAUUAAUAAAAAUAAUUUUAUUAUGUUUGAUUUAUUUUAAAAAAAUAUAAAAAAUAUUUUUAUUUUUAAAUUAAUAAAAUAAAUAAAUUUUUUAAUUUAAAUGAACUAUAUAUCUAAAAAUUAUUUAUAAAUUUAUAAUAUAAAAUUACUUGAAGAAAAUAUUUUAUUAAUUAGAAAAGAAAAAAAAAUAUCUUUCAAACAUGUUUUUUGUUUUAUUUGUUCUAAAUUUUUUUUUUAUUAACUCAACCAAACAUGUUUUUUUGUUUCUGAGAACAAAAACUGUUUUUCAAAAUUCAGUUUCCAAACACAAUUUUUUUUUUAAAAACACCAAAAACUGUUUUCCAGAACAGUUUUAAAAAACAGCAACCAAACAGGUCCUAAAUUUGGAAACAGGAAUUUUGAAGAAUUAUUUAAAGAUGGAAGUUUUUGGAAUUUUGGAAAUUAGAGAUUGAAUAUGGAAAUCAGAAUUUUGAAGAAUUAUCUAAAGAUGGAAUUUUAAAAAUAAAUAAAUAAAUAAUAAUGAUUAAAUAAAUAAAUGUGAAAAUUGGAAUUUUGGAAAUUGGAAAUUGAAUUUGGAAAUCAGAAUUUUGAAAAAUUAUUUAAAGAUGGAAUUUUAAAAAUAAAAAAAUAAAAUAAUAAUAAUAAUAAUAGCGAAAAUAAUAAUGAGUAAAUAAAUAAAUGUGCAAAUUGAAAUUUUGAAAAUUGGGAAUUAGAAUUUAGGACCUAAAAAAAAUUCUAAAGAUGAAAGAUUGUGGAGUUGAAUUAUUUGGAAACUGGAUUUUCAAAAAUCAAUUUUUUAAAGUCCGUGGGCUUUGAAAAUGGGCCAAGGAGGGUGGCUAUGCAAACUGGAAUUGUGCACGUGGGCUCGAUCAUAGUUGGACUCAACCUCUCUCAAAGAGCCCAUAAUACUACCCCAACAAGCCAUAUGAAGGAAUGUUGUUGCACCAUGUGAUGAUUUUCAGCAAUUCCUCUAGUGUUUCGUGCCCACCUCCAUAUACAUGGUCAAACCUCCUUCCACCAUACCAAUCUUACUCUUCAGCUUAUCUCAAACCUCCAAUUCAAUAUUCUUCCCUUCAAUCAGUCUCACGUUUUCAUUUUUGGACACUUGAAGCCGACUUGGAGUACAUCGCUCGCAUCGUCUCCUUCAUCAGAUCACACUUCAACUUCACUUUCUCUUCAUAGAUAGCAUCUGCAUUUUUCGACGUCGACACUGUGCCAUCUUCACUAUCACAACUGGAACCCGAAUUCGAAUCAGAAUCCAAAUCCAAAGACGUAGAAGGACGUUCUUGGUCCCUCUGCAUCCUCCGGUGACUUGACUCAUCCUUGUUCAUCAUAAGCAAGGGAGACGACAUCACAAUAUGACAUAAUGUACCCAUCAAAGCCCCACUAUCAAUCUCAAGCCAAAUGUUCUAAAAUCUAAAGACCGUGACACAAUAACUGGUGUUUCGAGAAGUCCAUCAUCAUCACUUGCUUUGUGGUUGGCAGUGACAAACGGAGUCGUGGUCAUUGACGAUGAUCGCCUUCGUGCAAGGCUUGUCGAAGCAUGUGUAUGAAGGUUAGGAUAUGGUGAUUUGUAGGAUGAGGACUUGUGGUGGAAUGACAAUUGGAGGUAUGAGUAUGGAAAUGGGUGUGAUGGAUGACAGUGGGUAUGAAGGGUAUUGGUCUUGUUCAUGGGUGAUUCUUUUGCAUGGAAGUGUCUUGAACACGGAUUGCAUAUUGUUCCAUCUCUACCUGUAAAGGCCUCCUGGAGUACAUUAUAAAUAGAAACUCCAUUUUCUUGCAACACGGAUGGGUUCAAGAAACAAAAGUAAAAUCAAAUAGAGCAUAUAUGCACACAAAUAGAUUCAGCAAAACAAACCAGUAAUCCUUGAUGCCCAAAUCAAUCAAUAAAAUCACACCUAGGAAUUUGUAGAAAAUGGUAGUAGAAUCACGAGAAAAUGAGGAAAUGUGAAGUUUACAAAGGCCUUACCUGGAAGUCUCAUUCCCAAGCAUAGCUUUCCUGUCUCCCCCAGGCUAUCUCUAUCUCUCUGUAACAACAACGGGAAGAUCACCUCCUCUCUAUAACCCCCCACCAAAAAUAUCUCCCUCUUCUCCCAACUUGCAGCUUACGCUCCUCUAUAUUUUCUUGAAAAUAUCUUCCUCCAAAGCAACAACUUGCUUUAUUGCUCCUUGUUUAGGGAGGAUGUCAUCACAUUCAACCACCACCAUGGUGAGCCAUGUUUUUUUUCUUUUUUUUGGCCACAUGUCCAUGUAGCUUGCUCUUCUAGAAAGAGGUCCCCCCACUUCAAAAAAAGAUCUUUAACUCUUUCGGGUGGCCAUGAAAUACCCUUUGAUGCAAAUUAUAAAAGCAACAAUAAUAAUAUAUAUAUAUAUAUAUAUAUAUAUAAACAACUAGGACUUGGUAUGCAAAAAGGGGUUUACACUAAGCCAAUGUGGUCUGUUAACAUGCCUACCUUUUAAAUAUAGGUCCACUUAGCCGCAUCACCCAUCGUGUCAGUAGUGAAACACAAAUGGACCCAAAUAAAUUUCCCGACUCAAUCCACUUCCUACAAUUCUUUCAAAAAAUACCCAAAUGAUUUAACAUAAGAAUAACAACAUAAUAAUUUUAAGAAACAUAACCUCUUAAAAUAAUUUAGAAAUAAUUAAUAUUAAAAAAGGUUCACCUUCCACUAUGGCAUCAAAAUCAACCCCUUCUCAAACUCAAAUGUUAUAUUUGAUUAGUGGGAGAGGAUAUGUAUAUUUUACAAUAUUAUAUUUAAUAAAAUAUUAUAUUUAAUAAAUAUGAGACUUUUGAGGAUAUGUUAUAUUAUGUUAUUUAAUAUACACAAAUAAUUUGCAUAUAUUAUACAAAAAUUUUACACAUAAAUAAAUUAAAAUUUUUAAUUUUAUAAAAUAAUUAAUAAAAAGAAUAAAUUUAUGAUAAAUGUGAUAUAUUUCUUAGUUUAACAUUAAUAUAUUUGAGGUAAAAGGAAUAUAGAAAAACCAAAAAUAAAACAUCUCACUACUAUUUUAUCAGGGCUUUUUUAACUUGUACGGCUAUUUUAAAAAAUAAUUCUUAAAAAAUGGUACUUUGAAAAAUAAUUCCAAAUCUACAACACUUUUUGUCACUUUGAAAUGUAUUUCUUGAAGAGACACCUUCUAUAUUUUUCAUAUCAACCAUAAAUGUUAAAAAAAAUUGAAUUUACACUAAAGGUGUCUUUUGAAGAGAGACCUUCCAUAAUUCCAUAAAAUUAAAUUUAUGUUAAAUGUGUCCUUUCAAAAGACACUUUUUCAUAAUUUUUUUAUUAAUCAUACACGUUAAAAAAAAUUGAAUUUAUACUAAAGAAAUGUCAUUUCCACGAUACCAUAAAAUCAAAUUAAUACUAAAAGUGUCUCUAGAAGAGACAUCUUUGAUAAUUUUCAUAUCAAUCACACAGUGAAAAAAAAAUUGAAUUUAUAUUGAAGGAGUCUAUACAAUUCCACAAAAUUGAAUUUAUACUAAAUGUUUCUUUUGAAGAAACACUUUCCACAAUUUUUUUAUUAGUCACCUAUCAAAAAAUUAAAUUUAUACUAAAAGUAUCUCUUGAAGGAAAACAUUUCAAUAUAAAUUUAAUUUUAUGAAAUUGUGGAAUGUGUAUUUUGAAAAUAUAUUUUUAGUAUAAAUUCAAUUAUUUCAAUGGAUGACUGAUACAAGAAUUGUUGAAGGUGUCUUUUCAAGAGACACCUUUAAUAUAAAUUUAAUUUUAUGAAAUUGUAGAAAGUGUGUAUUAAGAAGACAUCUUUAGUAUAAAUUCAACUUUUUUUUAUUAUGCAAUUGAUAUGAAAACUGUGAAAAUGUCUAUUUAAAAGACACUUUUAAUAUAAAUUCGAUUUUGUAGAAUUAUAAAAGGUGUCUCUUGAAGAGACAGUUUUAAUGUAAAUUCAAUUUUUUUGAACGUGUAUCAUUUAUAUAAAAAUAAUGUAAAGUGUCUUUUUAAGAGAUACCUUUAAAAGUGACAAAAAAUGCCGUAGAUUUGAAAAUAAUUUUCAUUGUACUAUAUUUUAAAUUUUUAAUUUUAAAUUCACCAUAUAAUUAUCAAAAAUCCUAUUUUAUCAUAUGUUAUGUUAUCUCAAACCUCUUUACGUUAGAAAGGACGUCUUAAAGUCCAAAAACAAAUGGUGUUUAUCUUGGGAUCUCCUUUCUUUUGACUUUCAUCAUGCUAAGACGAAGGUAGAGAAUCAAGAACCAUUGCAAAACAUAAAUGAGUGCUAGUAAUAAAAUAAUUGAGUCGGAAUUCAUCUUUUCCAUCAUUACUCUUAUAUUAUUUAUUGCAUGGAUUAUUAUUAUUAUUAUGAUUAAUUAGAAUAUUUUCAAAAAUAUGAUCAAACAUAAAAUUUUCUUUCCCUCAAAUUUUAAUUGGAAUUUAAAAGUAUUACAUGUAAGAUAUUUACAUGCAAUAUAUAUUCGAUCCAAGUAUCCGAACAUUUGCAACAUGAAUCAAAUUUAGAAAAGACUUAGAAUCAUCUACUUACCUCCAACCAUUGUUUUUGAAUUGUAAUUGGUGAAGUCUCGGAUUUUCCAAACUCUAAUCUCACUUUUUUUAGAUGGUAUAUUUCUGAAGAUAAAAACUGCAAAGAGAGACAAGUUCGGGACCAUAAGAGAUUUAUGUAACUGUGGUUUCCCAUCAUACCACGCUUUUUCUGAUUUGCCACCAUGUUGAGCAGUUUGUAGAACAUGUUCCUUAACCGUGGGGAACUGAGAUGACUGGUGGAGGACGUGGUUAAGUGUUGGACCACUUUAGGGUGGUGACCACUUCAGAGUGGUGAACGUGUAGCUGGUAACAUUAUAUCCUUUUUUUUUAAAAAAAAUUAAUUUAUUAUUUUUAUCAUUUUGAGUCACUUAGGGUCACGAAUUACUGUUAUGAUUGAAUUGUGAUUAAAAUAAGAAAGAAAAAUUAUUUAUUUUCCAACCCAUCUCUUGUAACACCAAAUAAAGGAAAGAAUUCCUUCAUUUCAAUUCGCUUUUAUACCAAAUUUCCUUAAUUGAAAUCCAUUCAAUUCAUUUCAAAGUUUAUUAAUUGGAGUAUUUUCCUUUUGGGUUUAGCCCCAAACAUAGUUUUACGUCCGGUAACUAAUUGUAUUAUUUAAUUUUAUAUUAUAUUAUCUUCCUGUUUGGAAACUAUUAUUGAGUUUUUUAAUAUUUGAAAUAGAAAAUAGAUUUUUAAAUCUAAAAACAAACUUGAUGAAGAUUUUGUAGAAAAUAGUUUUUUUAAAGUUUGUUUCAAAAACAAGUUAUUUUUUAGAUGGUUUAAAUUAUUUUUUAUAAAAUGUUAUGAAAAAACAUGAAAAAUAUUUUUAAAAACUUUAGUAUCACGCUUAGUAUAAGUUAAUAAAACCAUUUUAAUAUUUGAGUUCUCAAAUAAUUUUAUUCCUAAAAAUAAUUGAGAAAUAUUCAAAAAAAAAAAAUGUUCUAGAAAAACAAUUUGAGAGUUGCUUUUUUGAACAUUAUUUGACAAGUCCAAUACUUUUCUUUUUAUAUUGUUACUUAUAAAAAAAUCAAUUUUUAGUAGUUGGAAAUUAUUAUAAAUUUAAAAUAUAUUUAAUUUUUUUCUUUUACUUCAUUUAAAAGAAUUUAUCCCACAUCAAGCACAACCAAAAUAUAUUUUUAUUUAACACUUAAUCUCAUUGUAAUAUUCAUUUAAUAUUUAAUCUCAUUGUAAGAUGUGUUAAUUUCUUAAGCAUUACAAAAUUAGUAAAUUACAAUGAUUUUAGGACGUGGAAGCUAGUCCAAUUAAAAAUGCUAGUGAUUAAUAAUAAGUCAAAUAAUUAUAAUAAUAAUAAUAUGAGAGAUUAGUUAAUGCUUAAGCUAAUCUUGACAUGGAGACUAGAGGUAUGAAUUAUUAGAAAAAAUUAAUUCUUCUCAUUCUUACAUUUACAUAAAAGCGUAAUCCAAGAUUAGAGGUAUACAACAAUUAAAAAUAUGACGAAUUCUCUAAAAAAUUGUGUUAUAUAUAUAUAUAUAUAUAUGAGUAAAUACAUAAGUUGAAAAUUUUAUUUUCAUAUUUGAGUUAUCAAAUAAUUUUGUUUAUAAAAAUAAUUGAGAAAUUUUUUUAAAAACUAUUAUAAAAGGACUAUUUGAGAACUGUAUUGUUAAAUGAUUUUUAUAUUUUUCUUCUUAAUUUUUUUUUCAUAUAUAAAAUUUAAAACUUAUUAUUGUUUUCCAACUUGAAAACUUAAUAAUAAAAUUUAAUAACAAAUUUUUAUUUAUCAAAAACGUUUUAAACUAUGAAAUCUUUUCUUGGAUAUAUAUAUAUAUAUAUAUAUAUAUAUAUAUAUAUAUAUAUAUAUAUAUAUAUAUAUUAUUAUGAAUGUAUCUUUAUUUUCAAUUAGUAAAAUUAAAUGAUAAAAUUAAAGACGUUAAAAAUAAAAGGGAAGUUGUAGACCCCCAUUUAGGCAUGGGUCACAUUUUUCUCUAUUUGUUUUUGCAAAUCACAUUUUUAGCCAGGUGUCACUAUCCCAGCGGGCCACGUGUCGCAUCCUUAGUGGUCAUAAGGAAUCAACUUCGCUUUUUGAAGCUGCAGUAAGACUUUGACACAUGGAGAAACUUUCUGGAGGGGGGUCCCGCAGGCCGUCAAGGGGCACGGAUCAGAGAGAAAAAGGUGGCUGCAGAAGGAGUGUUGUAGAAAAGGUGGCUACUGCAGAGAUCGUUUGAGAGGACAACAUUGUAGUGCAGCAACAGGGAGAGUGGUUGGGCAAGCCAUGCUUGCUGACCAGUGAACAGUAGGGCAGAGGAAGGAAAAAAAAAAGAACAAGUGAAAAACAGGAGGAAGGAGCAGGAGGUUGAAGGAAAAAAGGGGUAUUGGAGAGAUAUUUUGAGAGGAGGGGGUACUCGUUUAGCUGAGGGGCAGCAAACUAUGAGAGGUGAGAGACUUUUGGGUGUUGGUAGGGAGAUAUUUUGAGGAAGAAGGAGAUCUUUUCAGGAGGGCUUUUGGCUGGUUUUUGAGAGAAUGGUUUAAAGAGAAGAGAUGAGAGUUUAGCCAGAGACGCCUAGCUAGAGAAGAAGCUUUCAGGUAUGACUAUCACUCUUUUACAUCUCUUGUGAUUAUUUGAAUACUCAUUAAUCUGUUUGGGGUGGAUAAUGAAGGCCACCAGUCUUCUUGUUGAAGUAUGACCCUGCAUUUGUGUUUGCCAUUGUCCAUUUUAACUUGCUCUAAUCCUACUGUGAUUAUGAAAUGCUUGAGAAUCAUGAGGGUGGUUGCAUUUGAUAUGGUUUAUCCACCUGCUCAGAAGAUUCAUGGAUGAUUCAUGAAAUGGAUUUUCUGAUAUUUUUCUUUAUUUAUUCAUCUUCUUUCACGCCCUGUUUCUCUACUUCCCCUGUUUCUUGAUAUCCGUCCAUGGUACACAUCCAUUUUCUCAUCCCUGCUCCAAAGAGAUCCUAGAAAAUCUGGAGUAGUUGUCAUGGCAGCAAAGCUCACCUCAUCAGCAUCCCCAUACCCAUUUUCGUUUAUUAUUCAUCGUUUUAUCCAGCACGCCUAUGUCCCUAUCCAUCACUCCACUCCCAUUCCCGUUUAUCUUCAUCAUGCGUAAACCCCCACACAUGGCAUUGCUCAUUCCACUCGGAUGCCUCACAUCCGGAAUUCUGCCCGGCAACAUUCUACCUCAUCCGGAUGUCUCUCAUCCGGAAUUCUUCCCCCCGUCUCAUUCCACCCGGACAUAUCGCAUCUGGAAUCCUUCUCGCCUCAUUUCACCCGGACAUAUCGCAUCCGGAAAUCUUCCCCGCCUCAUUCCACCCAGGUGUCUCACAUCCGGAUUUCUUCUCCGCCGACAUUCCAUCCGGAUGUCUCGCAUCCGGAAUUCUCUCUCCGCCGACAUUCCAUCCGGAUAUCUCACAUCCGGAAUUUUCCCUGCCGACUUUCCACCCGAACGUAAAUUCUCACUCCUUCCAUCCGGAUAUUCACAGCCGCCAUUCUGUCCGACCAACAUUCCACCUUCUCCGGAUGUCUCACAUCCGGAAUUCUACCCGGUCAACAUUCUACCUUAUCCGGAUGUAUCACAUCCGGAUCUGAAGGUCAACUUCUUUCCACCUCAUGACUUUAAGCAUGUCCAUCUGUGCAUGGCCGCCUUCCCCAAGUCCAACUGUGUAAAUGUUUUCUCUAAUUCAGGUUAUUUCAAAAUAAUUUCAAAUCAUCAAAAUUUUCUAUCCUUCAUCCUUAGCAUUUUUCUUUAGGUUUCAAAAGUCCACUUCUCAGUAUAACUUUGCUGCCAUUUUUUUUUUCCUUUUGGCAGGCAAUCUUCACAAUCCCAUGGCUUUAAAAUGUUUUAAAGUAAGUAGGAAUUUUAAUUUUGUAAUUUCAGAUAAUGGAAUUUAUGGAAUUAGUUCAUGCAAAAUAAAACAGGGCUUUGGUGGGGGCCCUACAUAAGUGACUGUAUAAUUGAUUGAUUGAUUGGUUGAUUUAAUUGCCAUGCAUGAUUGAUGUUAUUCUACUCUAUAGCAUGCUCAAAAAUAUUCCUUAAUUGUGCAUUAACCCCACUUCUUGAUAGCGCAUAACGGCUCGUCGUCUAGGUACAUAUCUAUUCCCAUUCUGGUAUUUCUAUAUGCAUGCUUUGAUUUCUCAUAUGUGCAUGAUAGUUCCGGGUAUUCAUUGAUUUCCUCAUCAAUUGUCAUGUCAGCUUCAUUUUAUUAGUAGAGACCCGUUUUAGGGACUUAGAGGGGUGCUACGGUCUUUACCGUACCUUCCCGAUAAGUAACCUGACCCCCGAACCCGAUCCGAUUUUUCGCAGACCAACCUUUUUCAAAACGAGGAGUCACACUUAGGGUUUUUCUUUCUUAUUUUGUUUACCCUUUAAAAAUAAAACAAAAAUAAGUGACGACUCCAAAUAAUUUUUUUUAACCGAUUAAAUCAUUUUUCAAAAUAAAAAAUCGAGCUCGCCAUCAAGUGGGAAACGCAUUGAGCCGAAAUGCGGGGUCCACAAAAGUAUAUCUCAACUUACAUCAAUUAAGAGGAGAUAUAUUAAGCAAAUGAAGGAUAAAAAUGAUUAAUGAUAAAAUAAAUAAUAUAUAAAUUAGUAUUAUGUGUUAAUGAUUUAUGUUGUUAGAGUGUGGCAGAGAUUUUCAUUUUUUUUAAAUACAUUUCACUGUAGUGUAGAUAUUUUUUGUAUAAGAGUUUUUAAAUUGUAAUAUGGAUUUUUUUAGUAGGCUGCUUUUUUUUUUUGCAUAUAUAUAGUUGUUUUUUUUCAGUAAUAUUUUGUUAUCUCAGUAAUUCAAAAGAAAUAAAAAUUAUUUAUCCCACAUCGCUUCAAAACUAAAAAUAUUAUAUAUAUUUAAUAAAACUUUGAUUUUCUUAAAAAAAAUGAAGUAAAGUCAAUGCGUCUAAUUCUAGAUAGGCAGCAUUAAUUUAUCUUGGAGUGCCUAAUUCUAGAUACGCAGCAUUAAUUUAUCUAAUUCUGCUGCUUCAUAUGGUUUCAUAUAUUAAUCCUUUUAAUUUAUCUAAUCCUUAGCAUUCUGACGCAAGCUUCAUAUGUUUCAUAUAUUAAUCCUUUUAAUUUAUCUAAUGGUUUCAUAUAUUAAUCCUUUUAUUUCCAUUUACGUUGGAACAAUUAUUGUUGGUAAAAAACUUAGGACGGAGGCUAUUAGGCCCAUUUUAUUUAUAUAUAUGCUACUUGAAUAAACCAUUAAGCAAUUUGUCUUUUGUACUAUCUUAGUUUACUUCUAUAUAUAAAAUGUUACCCUAAAUGUCUUUUUUUGUAAUAAGUUAUUUCCUAUCAAAAAGACUAAUGGUGGAGGAGCAGUUACCCCUGUACCCCUGUAGGCCAUCACCGAAGGAAGAUUAAGCAAUUUGUCUUUAGUACUAUCUUAGAAACAAUCCUAGUAAAAGAGACGCUUUCAAUAAUAAUCUAAACAAGUAGGUUUAUCAAUGGUUGAAUCCAUAGAAAUAUAAUCUCCUUAUGCAUUAUGAAUUAUAUUCAAUAAUUUGAAUUUCUUAUCCAGUUGGUGGGAGAGUUGAUUUUUUACCAUUACAUAAGCCAAAGGGGAUUACGAUCCUUUCAAAAGACAAAAAUUUUAAGAAACAUUACCAGCUCAAAGAAUUUAUAAAUAAGUACUAAAAAAUUUUAACCCUUCACAAUGUCAUCAUACCCAUAAUCCCAUGGCUCAUAAAUCAAUGGUUAUCAAACUCACAUGUUAUAUUUGAUUGAUAGGAUAAAAUAUGUAUAUUUUAUGAUAUUAUUUUUAAUAAAAUAUUAUAUUUAAUGAACAUAAUAUACUUUGAAAUAUGUUGUAUUAUGUUAUAUAAUAUGUACAAAUAUUUUUUAUAUACUGAAUAAUAUAUAUAAUAAUAAUAUUUUAUAAUAAAUUUUAUACAAAUUUUUUAGUUUUUAAAUUUUAAAUUUAAUAUUUUUAACAGAAUAUAUAGAUAUAUUAAGGCAGAAAAAAAAACCUUCAACGAAAUCUGAAGGUCUGUGAUCAAGCCAGAAGAUAUCCUCCCUAUUUAUUUUUCUUUAAAUUGGAAAAUACCAUAAAGUUUAUUAUCUUCAUCAGCACAUUGACAACCGAAACUCAAGUAAUUUGAAAUGCCCACGCUAUGCAACAAAACAACCUUUUGCAAAUUCUUAGAAAAAUCUUAACAAAGCCAAAAUUUCUUUCUUUGCAUGUGUCUUUUGACAGCUAAAAAAGGAGGAUAAAAAACUUAGCACUUACCCACAUUUUAUAAAGUAGAAUUUUCAGGUCCAGAGCCAUCAUCUAGUCAAGAAAGCAGAAGAACAAAGAGAAAGGGAAUUAACGACAAGCAAAUGGAAACAUAUAUGAAACUAUUAUUUUUCUUGAAAUACAACUCAUGAGAGAGAAUUGAACCAUAUAACCUUGUAAUAUAAAAUCAAAGCAUUGUAGACAUGAAAACAUUUUGAAUCCAAAAGCGUAAAUUAAAAUAGAUCAUAACAUGUUUUGACAUCAAAGAUUCUUUUAUUUUCUCAACACAAAUCACUGAUCGAAAUUCCAUGGCAAAAUGAAGAGGAAAAAGAAUUACAUUCACAUAUCUUCACAAUAAACUAACCUCAAAUCACAGAAGCCUGCAAUCACAAUUUGGCGUACAACGAUGAUGUCCUUGCAGCAAAAAUAGCUCGGUGGAGGAAUGCUCAUAGUCCACUAGGAGGCCUGAAAGAGACUACUUGGACAGAGAACAGGGCAUUACAACCUUUUGAAGAGAGGUCUAGCGGGAACUACACAAACAGAGUAGCAUUUUGCUUGCCGAUAACCAACACAAACUACUUUAUACCAUUGGACAGAGACUACUUCUUUCUCUUGAACAGAAACUAUCCCUCUCAAAAGAUUUAAACUUUAUACCAAACAAAAUAGAGACAAGACAGAUUUGCAAAUCAACACAAACCCCAAUUUCUCUUUAUUUCCUAUGCUAUGAAGAAAACCAAACAAAGAUCCCCAAUUUCUUCACCAACCAAAACAAUUUUUUUUUUUAAAAAAAAAAAAAGCCUCAACAUAAACUAACCCAAUUUCGAAAACCCUGGACUGACAAUGAGAUUGACUGAACUGAGAUUACGAGAGAUCGCCGCCGGUGAGAUAUGGAGAGACAGAUGAGAUUCGUAGUGGAACAGGGUGUAGACUGUUGAGCACUCUUUUGAGCUUGCCGAACCCGGCUUCCCUCUGCUCCCACGGCGACAGAAUGAGGCGAAUAGUUGGUAUGUUGUUAAAUUUGGUAUUUUGUUAAAUCAAGUUGAUGAAUAUGGUUUUAUAUUUCCAUAUAAAUAUAUAUAUUUCCCUUCUUAC